RNAcentral lists this ribosomal RNA (84 nucleotides) under Crataegus gaylussacia. RNAcentral describes it as "partial 5.8S ribosomal RNA". It matches the Rfam family "5.8S ribosomal RNA", at positions 73 to 154 of the family's 154-position model. Rfam says of the family: 5.8S ribosomal RNA (5.8S rRNA) is a component of the large subunit of the eukaryotic ribosome. It is transcribed by RNA polymerase I as part of the 45S precursor that also contains 18S and 28S rRNA. Lineage: Eukaryota; Viridiplantae; Streptophyta; Magnoliopsida; Rosales; Rosaceae. The record is from RNAcentral.
UGCAGAAUCCCGUGAACCAUCGAGUCUUUGAACGCAAGUUGCGCCUUAAGCCGCCAGGCCGAGGGCACGCCUGCCUGGGCGUCA